AUGAUGGGUAGGGGAGCUUCCCAUACGGGUUGAAGCAUGACCGUAAGGACAUGUGGACAGUAUGGGAGUGAGAAUGUUGGCAUGAGUAGCGAGAUGUGGGUGAGAAUCCCACAGGCCGUAAACCCAAGGUUUCCAGGGGAAGGUUCGUCCGCCCUGGGUUAGUCGGGACCUAAGCUGAGGCCGAAAGGCGUAGGUGAUGGACAACAGGUUGAUAUUCCUGUACUACCGAUAACCGUUUGAGAGAAGGGAUGACACAGUAGGAUAAGCUAAGCACACUGUUGGUUAUGUGUGCCCAAGCAUUGAGGCAGUCAAAGUAGGCAAAUCCGCUUUGAUAAUGCUGGGAUGUGAUGGGGAGCGAAAUUUAGUAGCGAAGUAGCUGAUUUCACACUGUCAAGAAAAGUCUCUAUCGAGGUUAAAGGUACCCGUACCGCAAACCGACACAGGUGGGUGAGGAGAGUAUCCUAAGGCCAGCGAGAGAACUGUUGUUAAGGAACUCGGCAAAAUGACCCCGUAACUUAGGGAUAAGGGGUGCCACCAUCAGGUGGCCGCAGAGAAUAGGCCCAAGCGACUGUUUACCAAAAACAUAGGUUUCUGCUAAGUCGCAAGACGAUGUAUAGGAGCUGACGCCUGCCCGGUGCUGGAAGGUUAAGGGGAUCUGUUAGAGCAAUCGAAGCAGUGAACUUAAGCCCCAGUAAACGGCGGCCGUAACUAUAACGGUCCUAAGGUAGCGAAAUUCCUUGUCGGGUAAGUUCCGACCCGCACGAAAGGCGUAACGAUUUGGGCACUGUCUCAACAACAGACUCGGUGAAAUUGUAAUUCCGGUGAAGAUGCCGGAUACCUGCGACAGGACGGAAAGACCCCAUGGAGCUUUACUGUAGCUUGACAUUGGGUCUUGGUACUACAUGUACAGGAUAGGU
Molecule: ribosomal RNA, 917 nt
Filed under: Clostridioides difficile
Lineage: Bacteria; Bacillati; Bacillota; Clostridia; Peptostreptococcales; Peptostreptococcaceae
Description: partial 23S ribosomal RNA
Rfam family: Bacterial large subunit ribosomal RNA
Source: RNAcentral